This 253-nucleotide ribosomal RNA is filed under the name uncultured bacterium. RNAcentral describes it as "partial 16S ribosomal RNA". It matches the Rfam family "Bacterial small subunit ribosomal RNA", at positions 524 to 776 of the family's 1533-position model. The record is from RNAcentral.
UACGUAGGGGCCGAGCGUUGUCCGGAAUUACUGGGCGUAAAGCGCGCGCAGGCGGCUGAUCAAGCCUGACGUGAAAGCCCCCGGCUCAACCGGGGAGGGUCGUCGGGGACUGGUUGGCUUGAGGGCGGUAGGGGCAGGUGGAAUUCCCGGUGUAGUGGUGAAAUGCGUAGAGAUCGGGAGGAACACCAGUGGCGAAGGCGGCCGGCUGGGCCGAGCCUGACGCUGAGGCGCGAAGGCGUGGGGAGCGAACGGG